This is a non-coding RNA of Macaca mulatta (Rhesus monkey), 1349 nucleotides long. Lineage: Eukaryota; Metazoa; Chordata; Mammalia; Primates; Cercopithecidae. The record is from RefSeq and is a predicted model, not a curated record.
AUGGGGGCCAACUUAAGCUAUGGACCAGAAGGGGUGGCCCAUGGGAAAGACAAAGCAGGAGGAAUUAGCACCACUUCCCGGCGGCCUUUGCGGGAACAAGAUGGCAGCCCCCAUACCUCAAGGCCAGUUCUGGUGACUCAGUCCUCAGCUAUAGUUCCAGUAAGAACUAAAAAACGUUUCACACAUCCUGUUUUUCAACCUAAAUUUAAAACAGAAAAAGUUUAUGGAACAUGCCCGGAAAGCAGGAUUGGUUAUUCCUCCAGAAAAAUCGGACCGUCCCAUACAUCUGGCCUGUACAGCUGGUAUAUUUGAUGCCUAUGUUCCUCCUGAGGGUGAUGCACGCAUAUCAUCUCUUUCAAAGGAGGGACUGAUACAGAGAACUGAACGAAUGAAGAAGACUAUGGCAUCGCAAAUGUCAAUCCGGAGGAUAAAAGACUAUGAUGCCAAUUUUAAAAUAAAGGACUUCCCUGAAAAAGCUAAGAAUAUCUUUAUUGAAGCUCACCUUUGUCUCAACAACUCAGAUCAUGACCGACUUUAUACCUUGGUAACUGAACACUGUUUUCCAGACAUGACCUGGGACAUCAAAUAUAAGACCGUCCGCUAGAGCUUCGUGGAAUCUUUAGAGCCCUCCCAUGUUGUUCAAGUUCACUGUUCAAGUAUAAUGAACCAGGGCAACGUGUACGGCCAGGUCACCGUAUGCAUGCACACCCGGCAGACUCUGGCCAUCUAUGACCGGUUUGGCCGGUUGAUGUAUGGACAGGAAGAUGUACCCAAGGAUGUCCUGGAGUAUGUUGUAUUCGAAAAGCAGUUGACAAACCCAUAUGGAAGUUGGAGAAUGUAUAGCAAGAUCGUUCCCCCAUGGGCACCCCCUAAGCAGCCCAUCCUUAAGACGGUGAUGAUCCCUGGCCCUCAGCUGAAACCAGAAGAAGAAUAUGAAGAGGCACAAGGAGAGGCCCAGAAGCCUCAGCUAGCCUGAUGACAAAAAUGACUUCUGGGGUGAAGCCUGGGUGAUGAGGCUGCUGGAAGCUUUGAAGUCUCCCAUUCCCAUCAUGCUAUAGAAAGAACUACCUUUGUUCUCUCCCAUCCUGCUCAGGUCUUUUCAGUAGUCUCAUCCUCAGCAACCAUGGCUGAUGGCUGGGCCCUAGCAGGUGGCAGGUAUAACAUGGCCAUGUACACUCUUCUUUUUUAAAUUUUAUGUCAAGCUUCUGAGGCUAGAUGAAAGACAGUAUGUUUCAGAGAACAUUGGAUACCAGUUUUUUCCACAGCAGGGACUGUGAGAGAGAACCAGCAGCAUCCUCUUUGUAAUCACAGGGCAGGGAUCAGAGUUUGAAAUAAAACUCUGUCAGUGU